CCACCGCGAGCACGCUCCAAGGCUUUACAAGGCUUUCUCCAUUCCUUCCCCAUCCAUCACUUCCCGGGAUCCCUUUGUGUUCUCUCGGAGCAACUUCUCCGUGGGCACCACCAGGAUUUGUGCCAGGGAAAGGAGGUCACUUCUGUCAUCUCUUCCAAGUUUUCCACAGGGCUUCCAUGCAGGAUUUAACCAAUCCUUGAGAAAUCAGUCCUGCUGGAUCCCUCUCCCUACAUGUUUGGGUGGGAAUUAUUCCUGGGCUGGAGUGGAUUUUCUCCAGGAAGAGCUGGAAUCCAAACCAUCCCGGAGCGUCAAUCCACGGUUCCUUCCCAAAGGACGGCUCCAAAGGUGUGGCCAUCCGGCACCUUCCCAGUGGAGCUGGAAUAUUUAGAGCCAGUCAGGAACAUCUGAGCGAGUCCCAGCAUGGCUCUUCUGAACUCCGGGGUGGGAACCACUGAUUUUGGGGGUCCUUGACUCCCAAAACGAAGGAUUUGGGGAGGAAAAAGUCCUUUCAUAAAUCAAGCGUGGAGAACAAAGGGAGGGAACAUGGGAAGCAGAGGGGAGACUUCCCUGUUUCUCGAGGAGCAGAAGAAGAGGGAUGGGGAUGGCAGCAUCGUUAAAGUGAACUCCUGACUGGAAUGACAAAAGGAAAAGAAAUUAAAGCCAGAUUUGUUCCCCUGGGCCGGAGGAAGGAGGAUCCCGUUGGAUUUGUUCCUCCUUUCUUGUUUCCUUCAAAGCCAGGAGAUCAAUUGUGGGCCUUAAUGAGAACCGUCUCGUGCCAGAGGUGGACAAUGGAGCGGGACAGGGACAUCCCGGGGAUUUUACAGCAGCUCAGAGCAUUGGGAUCCAUCCCUGGAAGUGCCAGCCCAUCCCUGGGAGUGGAGUGCCAGCCCGUCGUCUCUGGGCUUUCAGCAGGAAUGGGAGAACCUGGACACGUCCCGAUGCAGCGGAGCCUCCCAAAUCCGCACAGAGCCGCCUCUUCCGAGGCCUCCGC
RNAcentral lists this long non-coding RNA (991 nucleotides) under Chloebia gouldiae (Gouldian finch). RNAcentral describes it as "Erythrura gouldiae (Gouldian finch) lncRNA (ENSEGOG00005012552.1)". Lineage: Eukaryota; Metazoa; Chordata; Aves; Passeriformes; Passeridae. The record is from RNAcentral.